CACUUUGGGGUGUCCCCGUGUCCCCAAUGCUGAGGAGGUUUGGGGUGGCUGGGAUUGGGGUGUCCCAAUGUCCCCAAUACUGGGAAAAGCCACCUUGGGGUGUCACUGUGUCCCCAACGCUGGGAAAAGCCACCCUGGGAUGUCCCUGUGUCCCCAACUCUGAUGAGGUUUUUAGGGGUUCUUCUGGAAACCCUUUCCUUGUAAGGAAACCCUUUCUUUUGGGGCCAAAACCUUUCCUUUUGGGGCCAGAAAUCCUUCUUUUUGGGGCUGGAAACCUUUUAGUUUUGGGGACCAGGAGCCCUUUGUUGGGGUGCUGGAAAUCCUUUUUUGGGGGUGCUGAAAGCUCCCCCUUUCCUUGUAGGGAAACCCUUUCUUUUGGGGCCAAAACCUUUCCUUUUGGGGUUGGAAACCUUUUCAUUGUGGGGUUGGUGACCCUUUAUUUUUGGGGCUAGAAACCCUUGUUUUUGGCGCUGGAAACUCUUUCCUUUUGGGGCUGGAAACCCUUUCUUUUAGGGCUGGAAGCUCUUCCUUUUGGGGCCAGAAACCCUCUUUUUGGGGGCCAGAAACUCUUUGUUUUUGGGGCCAGAAACCCUUUUUUGGGAAACCAGAACCCCUUUGUUUUUGGGGUCAAAACCCCUUUUUUUGGAGCAGGAAACAAUUCCAGGUUUUCCCCUCAGAGCUCAGCCCCAGGAUCCCACCCAGAGCCCCGUAACCCCAUAAAGAGCAGGGGUGGGACACCAAAAAACCCCAAAAUUCCCCAAAAUUCCCCCAAAUUCCCGCUGGGCACUCACCGCUCCGGCCGGCCGUGCUGUUGUCCAGCGCGUGGCACGCGGCCAGCAGGACACCUGGGGAGGGACAACGGGGUCAGCCACACCCUGACCCCAAAAAUCCCCUUAAAAAAUCCCCCAAGGGGAUUUAGGGUCACCAAAACCACCCCGAGAUUUUGAAGGAAAACGCAGGAAUUUUUAGGAAAUUUUAAAGGGAAAAUCUCAGGAUUUUAAAGGAAAAAAUCCUCAAGGUUUUUAAGGGAAAUGCAGGAAUUCCCCGCGGCAGGAAUGACCCCUUGGGGAGAUUUUGAGGGAAAAACCUCCAAGGUUUUUUAAGGAAAAAGAUUUUUAAGGAAAAAUCUCCAGGAUUUUGAAGGAAAACGCAGGAAUUCCCUGUGGGCAUCCUGGUGGGAUCGGUGGGCAUCCAUCCCUGUGGGCAUCCAUUGCCUGGCAUUCCAGUGGAAUGAGUGGGCAUCCAUCCC
This 1249-nucleotide long non-coding RNA is filed under the name Junco hyemalis (dark-eyed junco). RNAcentral's name for it is "lncRNA (ENSJHYG00000001946.1)". The record is from RNAcentral. Lineage: Eukaryota; Metazoa; Chordata; Aves; Passeriformes; Passerellidae.